AAUGAACGUUGGCGGCGUGGAUUAGGCAUGCAAGUCGAGCGAGAAACUUCCUUCGGGAAGCGGACAGCGGCAGACGGCGUAGUAAAGCGUAGGUAACGUACCCCGCGGACCGGGAUAGCUACGGGAAACUGUAGGUAAUACCGGAUAACCUCUGGUCUCAUGAGAGGUCCAGAGCAAAUGGUGAGAUUCCGCCUCGGGAGCGGCUUACGUGGUAUUAGCUUGUUGGUGAGGUAACGGCUCACCAAGGCAAUGAUGCCUAGGGGGUGUUAGCGCAUGGCCCCACGACUGGGACUGAGACACUGCCCAGACACCUACGGGUGGCUGCAGUCGAGAAUCUUCGGCAAUGGACGAAAGUCUGACCGAGCGACGCCGCGUGCGGGAUGAAGGCCCUUGGGUUGUAAACCGCUGUCAGAGGGGAUGAAAUCAUGGUAGGCAAUCCUUCCAUGUUGACAGAGCCUCAGAGGAAGCCCGGGCUAAGUACGUG
Molecule: ribosomal RNA, 484 nt
Filed under: uncultured bacterium
Lineage: Bacteria
Description: bacterial SSU rRNA
Rfam family: Bacterial small subunit ribosomal RNA
Source: RNAcentral